GUUAGUUCUGAUCUUGUUGGUUCUGAUCUCUUGCUUCCCACUUGAGAGUGUGUGAUUUUGUGUUGUGAACCCUGAGAGCACCCUGAGAGGGUUUUGAGUUGACCUGAGCACUCUGGGACAGUGUCCAGAGUCUAGAGAAAGAUGAAAAAGGAGGAGGAUUUGGCUUGCGUGGGUAUCGAGAGGACUCUUGGCUUUGGCCACCGCUGUGAAAAUCUGGCAAGCAAUCAAAUCAUGGUUCUUCUAGGACUUCAGAACGCCCCUCAACUCUCAAGAACUCGCUCAAGCAAAAACGAAUAAAACCGCAUCUGUUUCGAAAACGA
Neocloeon triangulifer is the source of this 320-nucleotide long non-coding RNA. RefSeq lists it as uncharacterized. The transcript is spliced from 2 exons. Lineage: Eukaryota; Metazoa; Arthropoda; Insecta; Ephemeroptera; Baetidae. The record is from RefSeq and is a predicted model, not a curated record.